This 743-nucleotide unclassified non-coding RNA is filed under the name uncultured fungus. Its description in RNAcentral is "sequence contains 18S rRNA gene, ITS1, 5.8S rRNA gene, ITS2, 28S rRNA gene". Lineage: Eukaryota; Fungi. The record is from RNAcentral.
GCAACCGUCCGGGGGAGCCCAUCGACCUCGCGCGCGCGAUGCUGUUCCUGUGCUCCGACGAUUCGGACUUCAUUGUCGGCGCCGAGCUGUUCGUCGACGGCGGUUGCGCCGCGAUGAUGCCUGGAGGCGAUGCGGGCGGAUGAAGCGGUGAUGUCGAUGCGGCGGAUGCACUCCCCACCCGAUCCGCCUUCGCCGCUUCGCAGCUUCGGCGCGAUCGAUCUCCCCACGACGGGGAGGUGGGUUGAAAGGAUUGCGCUUGUGGGGUGUUUGGCGGACGCCUGGGAUCCCACGGAAAGGGGCUUGCGUGGCUAUGGGGCGUUCCGCGCAUAAUGCGUCCAGCCGAACCACUGUCCGGAGCUGGUCGAUGAUCCGCCGUGCGCUCUUUGCUCUUUGCCUGUCGCUUAUAGCCUCUGCCGCCGUCGCGCAGACGACGACCUGGCCGAACUUCAAGGAAGGCGACUACGUCAUCAAGGAUUUCCGCUUCGGAAGCGGCGAGACCUUGCCCGAACUGAAGAUGCACUACCGUACGCUCGGUACGCCGAAGCGCAAUGCGGCCGGCGAGAUCGUCAACGGCGUGGUGCUCCUCCACGGGACCAGCGGCGCCGGCACCUCAUGGUUGCUGCCGUCGCUCGCCGACGAGCUGUACAAGCCGGGCCAGCCGCUCGAUGCCGCCGAGCACUUCAUUAUCAUCCCGGACUCCAUCGGCGUGGGCGGCUCGUCGAAACCGAGUGAUGGGCUACGCG